RNAcentral lists this ribosomal RNA (253 nucleotides) under uncultured bacterium. RNAcentral's name for it is "partial 16S ribosomal RNA". It matches the Rfam family "Bacterial small subunit ribosomal RNA", at positions 524 to 776 of the family's 1533-position model. The record is from RNAcentral.
CACGUAGGGCGCAAGCGUUGUCCGGAAUUAUUGGGCGUAAAGAGCUCGUAGGCGGUUUGUCGCGUCUGCCGUGAAAGUCCGGGGCUCAACUCCGGAUCUGCGGUGGGUACGGGCAGACUAGAGUGAUGUAGGGGAGACUGGAAUUCCUGGUGUAGCGGUGAAAUGCGCAGAUAUCAGGAAGAACACCCGUGGCGAAGGCGGCUCUCUGGGACGGUACUGACGCUGAGACGCGAAAGCGUGGGGAGCGAACAGG